AUUUGAGUCACAUAGGUUAACAGAGCAAACCGGGGGAACUGAAACAUCUAAGUACCCCGAGGAGAAGAAAUCAACCGAGAUUCCGGUAGUAGCGGCGAGCGAACCUGGAUUAGCCCUUAAGCACUCGGUGAAGUAGGUGAACAAGCUGGAAAGCUUGGCGAUACAGGGUGAUAGCCCCGUAACCGACGCUUCAUCGAGCGUGAAAUCGAGUAGGGCGGGACACGUGAUAUCCUGUCUGAAUAUGGGGGGACCAUCCUCCAAGGCUAAAUACUCCUGACUGACCGAUAGUGAACCAGUACCGUGAGGGAAAGGCGAAAAGAACCCCUGUGAGGGGAGUGAAAUAGAACCUGAAACCGUGUACGUACAAGCAGUAGGAGCACCUUCGUGGUGUGACUGCGUACCUUUUGUAUAAUGGGUCAGCGACUUAUAUUCAGUGGCAAGGUUAACCGUAUAGGGGAGCCGUAGCGAAAGCGAGUCUUAACUGGGCGCUCAGUCUCUGGAUAUAGACCCGAAACCGGGUGAUCUAGCCAUGGGCAGGUUGAAGGUUGAGUAACAUCAACUGGAGGACCGAACCGACUAAUGUUGAAAAAUUAGCGGAUGACUUGUGGCUAGGGGUGAAAGGCCAAUCAAACUCGGAGAUAGCUGGUUCUCCCCGAAAGCUAUUUAGGUAGCGCCUCGGACGAAUACUACUGGGGGUAGAGCACUGUUAAGGCUAGGGGGUCAUCCCGACUUACCAACCCUUUGCAAACUCCGAAUACCAGUAAGUACUAUCCGGGAGACACACGGCGGGUGCUAACGUCCGUCGUGGAGAGGGAAACAACCCAGACCGCCAGCUAAGGUCCCAAAGUAUUGCUAAGUGGGAAACGAUGUGGGAAGGCUCAGACAGCUAGGAUGUUGGCUUAGAAGCAGCCAUCAUUUAAAGAAAGCGUAAUAGCUCACUAGUCGAGUCGGCCUGCGCGGAAGAUGUAACGGGGCUAAGCAAUACACCGAAGCUGCGGCAAUGCCUUUUAGGUAUUGGGUAGGGGAGCGUUCUGUAAGCCGUUGAAGGUGAAUCGUAAGGUUUGCUGGAGGUAUCAGAAGUGCGAAUGCUGACAUGAGUAACGACAAAGGGGGUGAAAAACCUCCUCGCCGGAAGACCAAGGGUUCCUGUCCAACGUUAAUCGGGGCAGGGUGAGUCGACCCCUAAGGUGAGGCCGAAAGGCGUAAUCGAUGGGAAACGGGUUAAUAUUCCCGUACUUCUGACUAUUGCGAUGGGGGGACGGAGAAGGCUAGGUGGGCCAGGCGACGGUUGUCCUGGUUCAAGUGCGUAGGCUUAAGAGUUAGGUAAAUCCGGCUCUUUCUAAGGCUGAGACACGACGUCGAGCUGCUACGGCAGUGAAGUCAUUGAUGCCAUGCUUCCAGGAAAAGCCUCUAAGCUUCAGAUAGUCAGGAAUCGUACCCCAAACCGACACAGGUGGUCGGGUAGAGAAUACCAAGGCGCUUGAGAGAACUCGGGUGAAGGAACUAGGCAAAAUGGUACCGUAACUUCGGGAGAAGGUACGCUCUUGAUGGUGAAGUCCCUUGCGGAUGGAGCUGACGAGAGUCGCAGAUACCAGGUGGCUGCAACUGUUUAUUAAAAACACAGCACUGUGCAAAAUCGCAAGAUGACGUAUACGGUGUGACGCCUGCCCGGUGCCGGAAGGUUAAUUGAUGGGGUUAGCGCAAGCGAAGCUCUUGAUCGAAGCCCCGGUAAACGGCGGCCGUAACUAUAACGGUCCUAAGGUAGCGAAAUUCCUUGUCGGGUAAGUUCCGACCUGCACGAAUGGCGUAAUGAUGGCCACGCUGUCUCCACCCGAGACUCAGUGAAAUUGAAAUCGCUGUGAAGAUGCAGUGUACCCGCGGCUAGACGGAAAGACCCCGUGAACCUUUACUACAGCUUGGCACUGAACAUUGAACCUACAUGUGUAGGAUAGGUGGGAGGCUAUGAAGACGUGACGCUAGUUGCGUUGGAGCCGUCCUUGAAAUACCACCCUUGUAUGUUUGAUGUUCUAACUUAGCCCCAUUAUCUGGGGUGAGGACAGUGCCUGGUGGGUAGUUUGACUGGGGCGGUCUCCUCCCAAAGAGUAACGGAGGAGCACGAAGGUGGGCUAAUCACGGUUGGACAUCGUGAGGUUAGUGCAAUGGCAUAAGCCCGCUUAACUGCGAGAAUGACGGUUCGAGCAGGUGCGAAAGCAGGUCAUAGUGAUCCGGUGGUUCUGUAUGGAAGGGCCAUCGCUCAACGGAUAAAAGGUACUCCGGGGAUAACAGGCUGAUACCGCCCAAGAGUUCAUAUCGACGGCGGUGUUUGGCACCUCGAUGUCGGCUCAUCACAUCCUGGGGCUGAAGUCGGUCCCAAGGGUAUGGCUGUUCGCCAUUUAAAGUGGUACGCGAGCUGGGUUUAGAACGUCGUGAGACAGUUCGGUCCCUAUCUGCCGUGGGCGUUGGAAGAUUGAAGGGGGCUGCUCCUAGUACGAGAGGACCGGAGUGGACGAACCUCUGGUGUUCGGGUUGUGUCGCCAGACGCAUUGCCCGGUAGCUAAGUUCGGAAUUGAUAAGCGCUGAAAGCAUCUAAGCGCGAAGCGAGCCCUGAGAUGAGUCUUCCCUGAUACUUUAAGUAUCCUAAAGGGUUGUUCGAGACUAGAACGUUGAUAGGCAGGGUGUGUAAGCGUUGUGAGGCGUUGAGCUAACCUGUACUAAUUGCCCGUGAGGCUUAACCA
RNAcentral lists this ribosomal RNA (2735 nucleotides) under Vibrio cholerae. RNAcentral's name for it is "23S ribosomal RNA". It matches the Rfam family "Bacterial large subunit ribosomal RNA". The record is from RNAcentral. Lineage: Bacteria; Pseudomonadati; Pseudomonadota; Gammaproteobacteria; Vibrionales; Vibrionaceae.